RNAcentral lists this long non-coding RNA (1306 nucleotides) under Salmo salar (Atlantic salmon). RNAcentral describes it as "lncRNA (ENSSSAG00000098631.1)". Lineage: Eukaryota; Metazoa; Chordata; Actinopteri; Salmoniformes; Salmonidae. The record is from RNAcentral.
AAUGAAGAGAAGUUGACCUCCCUGGGAUGUCGUCACUUCAUUAUUGGCUGCACCUGCGCAAUCAUGUGAUGCGAUACAUUUUUCAAAGACGUUUUUCAAGACACAGGAGAGGUCGGGUUGAAACAUUACUGAUGUUUCACGUUAAAAAUGGCUCUAAAGAUUGAUGCUAAACAACGUUUGACAUGUUUGAACAAUGUAAAUAGAUUAUUUUUUUUACUUUUCGCCGUGAAUCCCCCCCCCCGCGCUACUUUUUAGUAGCCUACCGAAGCGCUAACAACAUGGAACAACUUGGAGUUAUUUGGACAUCAAUUAUGAACUUUGUCAAAAGAAACCACAUUUGUAGUGGACCUGGGAUUUCUAGAAGUGCCAAUGGAUGAAGAUAAUCAAAGCCAACCUUGACAGAAUCACGCACAUGAAUUGAUGGAGUCAGCAGGAGCUUCAGCGCCAGCCCUGUCCAUGGAAGAAAGGGUUGCCCGGGAGUCCAGAAGGCAGGCGGAGCACUCCUUUGACAUCUCAGGCCGGUGGUAGCUGGUCCGAUGCAGGACGAUGAGGUGCAGGAGGUCCCUCCGCCCUUCCUGGACAUCGGGGGGGCCCGGCGUACACAGUCCGGUCCAUCUUGGACUCCAGGUGCUGGGUGAGGGGCCUGCAGUACCUCGUGGACUGGGAGGGGUACGGCCCGGAGGAGAGGUGCUGGGUACGUGUGGAGGACAUAUUGGACCCAGCGCUAAUCCGGGAGUUCCACAGCCUCCAUCCGGAUCGCCCUGCGCAUCGCCCUCCGGGGCAUCCUCGAGGCCGGCGUCGGCUCGCUGUGGGAGCCGCGCGUCGGGGGGUACUGUCACGACACCGACGGAAGGUGGCGCCCCUCCUUGCCCGGGCGGCGCUCGGCGGUCGUCGUCGGCGGCCUACUAGCUGCCAUUGAUCCUCUGUUUCACUUUCUGUUGGUUAGGUCUAGGUUAGGCACGCACCUGUUUUGUAUUUGUUGUUAGUGGGGGGGGUAUUUAGUCUAGCUAGGUAGGUUUGUGUUUUGUGCGUGAUUGUUCUGUGUCAGGACGUAUAUCGUUCGCGGAACAAGUGUUUCCAUCUGCCUGUGUUUUUUUUCGCAGAGGUUAUUGUGGGCUGCGUCCCUGCUGUUUUGAGCUGGGUUUUUGGAGCAUUUGUUUUAUGCGCCCUGCCCUACCUUGUUUCGUACAAUGGAUGCCCAUUAAAAGUGUGUUCACAGAUUUUCUGUCUCCUGCGCUUGACUCUACCUCUCCUGCUUCCUUGAGCCAACCUUGACAUGCGGAGUUACUUGCUUGGAUCUCAAGUU